RNAcentral lists this ribosomal RNA (458 nucleotides) under uncultured bacterium. Its description in RNAcentral is "bacterial SSU rRNA". It matches the Rfam family "Bacterial small subunit ribosomal RNA", at positions 60 to 522 of the family's 1533-position model. The record is from RNAcentral.
AGCCGAGCGGUAUUUCUUCUUCGGGAGAGAGAGAGCGGCGUACGGGUGCGGACCCCUAGAGCAACCUGCCUUUAUCUAGAGGAUAGCCUUUCGAAAGCCAUAUUAAUACUCUAUAAUAUAUUAAUUGGCAUCAAUUGAUAUUGAAAACUCCGGUGGAUAGAGAUGGGCACGCGCAAGAUUAGCUAGUUGGUGAGGUAACGGCUCACCAAGGCAAUGAUCUUUAGGGGGCCUGAGAGGGUGAUCCCCCACACUGGUACUGAGACACGGACCAGACUCCUACGGGAGGCAGCAGUGAGGAAUAUUGGUCAAUGGGUGCAAGCCUGAACCAGCCAUCCCGCGUGAAGGAUUAAGGUCCUAUGGAUUGUAAACUUCUUUUGUAUAGGGAUAAACCUACCCUCGUGAGGGUAGCUGAAGGUACUAUACGAAUAAGCACCGGCUAACUCCGUGCCAAAUCACUA